This is a long non-coding RNA of Procambarus clarkii (red swamp crayfish), 1096 nucleotides long. RefSeq lists it as uncharacterized. The record is from RefSeq and is a predicted model, not a curated record. Lineage: Eukaryota; Metazoa; Arthropoda; Malacostraca; Decapoda; Cambaridae.
CCCCCCCCCCCCACAAUCCCACCCUCUGCCACCGCACAUUUUCCACCUUCUACUCCAGGUCUUGCACCUGCUACUCCAAAUCUAACUGGACUGGUACUUGAACAAAAAGGACAAGGAUAUGCAGAGACCAACGAGACGCAAAACCAAACCAAGAAAGGCCCCAGAGGGGGCUGACCCCAGCUAUGGUGCAGGUGCCUACUAGUGCCACUCCAGUGCCACCUUGAGGACCCAUAUUUCUGACCAAUUAUAUUAGGCGAUCUGCAUGUAACUUGCACACCUUACUGAACCCAUGCCUAUCUACAAGGGUGCAAAUUUUGAAUGAUAUUGGUCAACAUCAACCUCAGCUAAAGGUGGCUGAACUUUGACCUUCGUUUGUGCAGGCUGCGAUGCUGAAACUUGGCCCAGUUGCAGCACCUUUCACAUGUAUCAGGAUAAUAAUUAUUUCAAUGCCCUACAACAAGUUUCUGUUCCCAUCUAGACAACCCCUUCAGACGCCCCAACUUGAUGAUGUUCGCACGAUAGUGCAAAACGCGGCCAUAUCUCUGGAAGAAGCGUCGGACCAACUCCUCUGGGAACCCGAAAAACAGCCCUCCCCCCUCACAACCACCCAUUUCACUGACUCGCUGCGAUCCAACACACGCACAGAUCUCGCACCGCCAGGUAACAGGAGAGUCACUUCAUCGUAUUUCUUAACUAUGUCCUGGAACACCACAUCGCCACAGAACCGCACCAAAGUGCGGUGCCCUCCAACCAGCUGUACACCCUUAACGUAAGUUACCACCACACACAGGACGUCCAGCAAUGCCACCUCACUAAAGAGUUGGUCACGUUCCCAGCAAAAUUCAGCUCAAUUGUGAGUGUGCAUCUCACAGGCGCCGAAGGCAACGCCAUACCACAGGCCUCCACGGCCCCGGGCCCACCAACCCAGCAAGGCUAAAGCGAGAGUGAGCAGCGACAGCACAAACAACCGUUUCAGUCGCUGGCCGAACCAGCACCUAUUUGUAUUUGCAACCCGUCCUCGACUCAAGUCCAUUACAUCCAGUGGUCGACCCCACAGACGCAUUCAUAAAUUUUAACAUGCUGUUCAUUCAAAACA